GACCUGUCCUUGCAUGUAAAACUUUCGGGACUCUUUUCUUUUUUUUUUCGAAAAAAACUAUGGGGAACCUUCGCGCGGAAUCUGAUCUAGGGCGUGCAUGCCUCCGGUGCGUUCUGGGUUGUUCGGCUCUGCCUGCCUUAGCCAGAUCUGCUUUGGAGGUUUGCUAAUUCAACGAAACAGAGACGAGCUCGAUCGCUCGAUCGCUCGAUCCCACGUAGAGAUGGGGUGCUGUGCUGUGUGUAUCUUCUUAUGUAAGAGUCUAGCUGUCUAGCUAGAGAGAUUAAUUGUCGUGUGCCCGACGAUUUCCCGGAAAUGUGAUUCAAGUUUGGUACGCUCGACUACAUGCA
Molecule: long non-coding RNA, 347 nt
Filed under: Brachypodium distachyon (stiff brome)
Lineage: Eukaryota; Viridiplantae; Streptophyta; Magnoliopsida; Poales; Poaceae
Description: long non-coding RNA (BDIS_LNC001445)
Source: RNAcentral